AAGGGCGUAACUUUGGUUCGACAUUGGGGAGGGGGGGUGGAGAUCUCCAACUAUCUCGGGAGGUCCUGGGACAUGUCUGCAUUUUAUUGAAAGUGAAGCAACAAAAACAUUG
Etheostoma spectabile (orangethroat darter) is the source of this 112-nucleotide long non-coding RNA. RefSeq lists it as uncharacterized. The transcript is spliced from 4 exons. The record is from RefSeq and is a predicted model, not a curated record. Lineage: Eukaryota; Metazoa; Chordata; Actinopteri; Perciformes; Percidae.